Molecule: ribosomal RNA, 1306 nt
Filed under: metagenome
Description: bacterial LSU rRNA
Rfam family: Bacterial large subunit ribosomal RNA
Source: RNAcentral
GCCCUACACGACCGUACCGCAAACCGACACUGGUGCGCGAGAUGAGUAUUCUAAGGCGCUUGAGAGAACUCGGGAGAAGGAACUCGGCAAAUUGACACCGUAACUUCGGAAGAAGGUGUGCCUUUAGUAGGUGAAGGGAUUUACUCCUGGAGCCCAAUGAGGUUGCAAAAAAUCGGUGGCUGCGACUGUUUAUUAAAAACACAGCACUCUGCAAACACGAAAGUGGACGUAUAGGGUGUGACGCCUGCCCGGUGCUGGAAGAUUAAAUGAUGGGGUGCAAGCUCUUGAUUGAAGUCCCAGUAAACGGCGGCCGUAACUAUAACGGUCCUAAGGUAGCGAAAUUCCUUGUCGGGUAAGUUCCGACCUGCACGAAUGGCGUAACGAUGGCCACACUGUCUCCUCCCGAGACUCAGCGAAGUUGAAAUGUUUGUGAUGAUGCAAUCUCCCCGCGGAAAGACGGAAAGACCCCAUGAACCUUUACUGUAGCUUUGUAUUGGACUUUGAACAGAUCUGUGUAGGAUAGGUGGGAGGCUUUGAAGCAGGGUCGCUAGAUCUUGUGGAGCCAACGUUGAAAUACCACCCUGGUGUGUUUGAGGUUCUAACCUAGGUCCAUUAUCUGGAUCGGGGACAGUGCAUGGUAGGCAGUUUGACUGGGGCGGUCUCCUCCCAAAGCGUAACGGAGGAGUUCGAAGGUACGCUAGGUACGGUCGGACAUCGUGCUAAUAGUGCAAUGGCAUAAGCGUGCUUAACUGCGAGACUGACAAGUCGAGCAGAUGCGAAAGCAGGACAUAGUGAUCCGGUGGUUCUGUAUGGAAGGGCCAUCGCUCAACGGAUAAAAGGUACUCUGGGGAUAACAGGCUGAUACCGCCCAAGAGUUCAUAUCGACGGCGGUGUUUGGCACCUCGAUGUCGGCUCAUCUCAUCCUGGGGCUGUAGCCGGUCCCAAGGGUAUGGCUGUUCGCCAUUUAAAGAGGUACGUGAGCUGGGUUUAAAACGUCGUGAGACAGUUUGGUCCCUAUCUUCCGUGGGCGCUGCAGAUUUGAGGAAGCCUGCUCCUAGUACGAGAGGACCGGAGUGGACGCACCUCUGGUGUAUCGGUUGUCACGCCAGUGGCAUUGCCGAGUAGCUAUGUGCGGAAGAGAUAACCGCUGAAAGCAUCUAAGCGGGAAACUCGUUUCAAGAUGAGAUCUGCCGGGGCCUUGAGCCCCCUAAAGAGUCGUUCAAGACCAGGACGUUGAUAGGUCAGGUGUGGAAGCGCAGUAAUGCGUUAAGCUAACUGAUACUAAUUGCUCGUGCGGCUUGACCCU